This 217-nucleotide long non-coding RNA is filed under the name Zostera marina. RNAcentral describes it as "long non-coding RNA (ZMAR_LNC005294)". Lineage: Eukaryota; Viridiplantae; Streptophyta; Magnoliopsida; Alismatales; Zosteraceae. The record is from RNAcentral.
CCAAAUGUCCAAUCCCUAAAUUUAUUUCUCUCCUUAAACCCUAAAUCACACUCUCACUAAAUCGAUUUUAAUUACAUUAGUAACAUUAUUGUUUAAAAAAAAAAUAAUAAUAAUAAUUAUUUUAGCCGGGGAUGGUUUUUGAGUCCGGGUAUUUCCCCGUCUCCGAUCAAAAUGACUGGAUACGGGGACUGAGAACGCAAUCCCCGCCCCGUCCCCG